CUACGGGCCGCUCCAGUGGGGAAUAUUGGACAAUGGGGGAAACCCUGAUCCAGCAAUGCCGCGUGUGUGAAGAAGGCCUGCGGGUUGUAAAGCACUUUCGGUUGGGAGGACUGCUUCUAGCACUAAUAUUGUUGGAAGUUGACGUUACCUUCAGAAGAAGCACCGGCUAGCUCCGUGCCAGCAGCCGCGGUAAUACGGAGGGUGCAAGCGUUAAUCGGAAUUACUGGGCGUAAAGCGCGCGUAGGCGGCUAGAUCAGUCGGGUGUGAAAGCCCCGGGCUUAACCUGGGAGCUGCAUCCGAUACUGUCUAGCUUGAGUACAGGAGAGGAGAGUGGAAUUCCACAUGUAGCGGUGAAAUGCGUAGAUAUGUGGAGGAACACCAAUGGCGAAGGCAGCUCUCUGGCCUGAUACUGACGCUGAUGUGCGAAAGCGUGGGGAGCAAACAGGAUUAGAUACCCGCGUAGUC
This 465-nucleotide ribosomal RNA is filed under the name uncultured bacterium. RNAcentral's name for it is "partial 16S ribosomal RNA". It matches the Rfam family "Bacterial small subunit ribosomal RNA", at positions 339 to 795 of the family's 1533-position model. The record is from RNAcentral.